CCUACGGGGGGCUGCAGUGAGGAAUAUUGGUCAAUGGACGAGAGUCUGAACCAGCCAAGUAGCGUGAAGGAUGACUGCCCUAUGGGUUGUAAACUUCUUUUAUAUGGGAAUAAAACGUUCCACGUGUGGGAUUUUGUAUGUACCAUAUGAAUAAGGAUCGGCUAACUCCGUGCCAGCAGCCGCGGUAAUACGGAGGAUCCGAGCGUUAUCCGGAUUUAUUGGGUUGAAAGGGAGCGUAGGUGGAUUGUUAAGUCAGUUGUGAAAGUUUGCGGCUCAACCGUAAAAUUGCAGUUGAAACUGGCAGUCUUGAGUACAGUAGAGGUGGGCGGAAUUCGUGGUGUAGCGGUGAAAUGCUUAGAUAUCACGAAGAACUCCGAUUGCGAAGGCAGUUCACUGGACUGCAACUGACGCUGAGGCUCGAAAGUGUGGGUAUCAAACAGGAUUAGAUACCCGUGUAGUC
Molecule: ribosomal RNA, 460 nt
Filed under: uncultured bacterium
Lineage: Bacteria
Description: partial 16S ribosomal RNA
Rfam family: Bacterial small subunit ribosomal RNA
Source: RNAcentral